AUGAGCUGUGUGCCGGCUGUUUUAAUGCGACUGCUCUGUGUCCCACAGGGUUUCCGUGGUACUGUGUCUCCAGCGCAACAUGAGUGUAACUCUGACACAGAGAACAACAACAAUAUCAAAAAGGAGGAUGAGCCUCUUUCUCUGACAGCCCAGCAUCAGCAGCAGCGGCAGCAACAGCGGCAACAGCAGCAGCAACAGGAGUACGUCACCCCUUCUUGGUCCCUCUCCCCCUCCUCCUCCCCCAUCUCCCACUCGGACGCCAGUGACUCGGACGCUGGAGAUGAGGACAACGCCAGCCCCCGCGGGCGCGCCCUACGCCGUCGCAAAAAACGACGCGGCACACCUUCAAAGAAAAAGACCCCCCAUCGGACCCCACCUGGGCGGCCACCACUGGUCUCCCCCGCCAACAUUCCUCAACACAGCCGUCCACUUCCUUUGUCCCACCCUCCAGCGCAGUCCUCCCCUCCCUGCUCGUCUUCCUCCUCCUCCUCCUCCUCUUCAGCUAAGCCUGUGUUCAAAGCUCCUGCUCCCCUGGGGUCCAACACCACAAGCAACGUCAACAUAAAUGUCCCCAGAGGAGGAGUGUCCAUAGACUCCAUGCGCCAAACCUGUGAGUACUGUGGACGCCACUUCCGCUCCCUGGGUCGCCACUUAGAUAAACACCAUGCACACCAACCAGAAGUGUGCUCUGCUUUAGUGGAGCGCUACACACAGAUGCCCCGCCUGCACGCACAGAACCCAAACCCCACCACAGCUCACACACAAACUCAGCAGCACUCAAAGUCGUCACAAGUUGCGGGACAGAGCCGCAGUUCAGAUCUUCCACAGAAUGGCGUCCAGGACCUCUCCAUGUCUCCGCCCACUCUCACAGCAGCCAACCAAUCCCCUGCUUCCGCUGGAAGAAACUCCACCCCACCUUUGCUGACUCCUCCGCGAGGACAGAAUGCAGUGCCGGUGUCUGUCUUAAAGAGAAGUCCACCCCCUGUGGCUGUGACACAGUCCAGGAAGGGAGCUGUGAGCAGGCUGAAGAAAGAAAGACAGAACGAGGAAGAAGCGGAUGAGGGGGACGAAGAUGAAGAAGAUGUGGAGGUUGUGGAGGUAAAGAGGCCCAAAGAGGAGGAGGAUGUUGAGGUGGUGUGUCCUCAGUCCUUCAGCUGCAAGUCGCCCAAAGAGAUGGAGCCACCAAAAGAAGAGGAAGAUGAGGAGGAGGAGGAAGAGGAGGAGGAGGAGAAUGGAGUGAUGGAGGUAGAAGAUGAAAGUGGAACAGAAGAUAAGGAAAAGGACCUACUGAGGUAA
This 1296-nucleotide long non-coding RNA is filed under the name Dicentrarchus labrax (European seabass). RNAcentral's name for it is "lncRNA (ENSDLAG00005026271.2)". The record is from RNAcentral. Lineage: Eukaryota; Metazoa; Chordata; Actinopteri; Moronidae.